UCCCGGAACGCUCUGCGCGCGCCUUCGGGGAGGAAGGGCUGCCUGGGCUCGCGGCGCGGCGCGGCUGCAGUCUGCUCUCUGUUCGGGGUCUCAACCUCUCCUCUGGCCGAGUCCCCGCAGGAAGCGGAUUACCGGACGCUGCAAAACACUUACGAUUUUGGAGUUUAAAGUAUGUCAUCAUGGCAAAGUUUCGGAGAAGGACUUGCAUCAUUUUGGCACUUUUUAUUCUGUUUAUUUUCUCUCUGAUGAUGGGUUUAAAAAUGCUGAGACCAAAUACAGCUACUUUUGGAGCUCCUUUUGGACUUGACCUUCUUCCAGAAGUUCAUCAACGAACUAUUCAUUUGGGGAAAAGUUUUGAUUUCCGAAAGAGUGACAGAAUCAACAGUGAAACAAAUACCAAGAAUUUAAAAAGUGUUGAAAUCACUAUGAAACCUUCCAAAGCCCCUGAACUUAACUUGGAAGAACUACCACCUCUGAAUAAUUAUCUACAUGUAUUUUAUUACAGUUGGUAUGGAAAUCCACAAUUCGAUGGUAAAUAUAUACAUUGGAAUCAUCCAGUGUUGGAGCACUGGGACCCUAGAAUAGCCAAGAAUUAUCCACAAGGGAGACACAACCCUCCAGAUGACAUUGGCUCCAGCUUUUAUCCUGAAUUGGGAAGUUACAGUUCUCGGGAUCCUUCUGUUAUAGAAACUCACAUGAGACAAAUGCGCUCAGCUUCAAUUGGUGUACUAGCCCUCUCUUGGUACCCACCUGAUGUAAAUGAUGAAAAUGGAGAACCUACUGAUAACUUGGUACCCACUAUUUUGGAUAAAGCUCAUAAAUAUAACCUGAAGGUUACUUUUCACAUAGAACCAUAUAGCAAUCGAGAUGAUCAAAACAUGUACCAAAAUGUCAAGUAUAUUAUAGACAAAUAUGGAAAUCACCCAGCCUUUUACAGGUACAAGACGAAGACCGGCAAUGCUCUUCCUAUGUUUUAUGUCUAUGAUUCCUAUAUUACCAAACCUGAAAAGUGGGCCAAUCUGUUAACCACCUCAGGGUCUCGGAGUACUCGCAAUUCUCCUUAUGAUGGAUUGUUUAUUGCCCUUCUAGUUGAAGAAAAACAUAAGUAUGAUAUUCUUCAAAGUGGUUUUGAUGGAAUUUACACAUAUUUUGCCACAAAUGGCUUUACUUAUGGCUCAUCACAUCAGAAUUGGGCUAGCCUAAAAUUAUUUUGUGAUAAAUACAACUUAAUAUUUAUCCCAAGUGUGGGCCCAGGAUACAUAGAUACCAGCAUCCGUCCAUGGAACACGCAAAACACUCGGAACCGGAUCAAUGGGAAGUAUUAUGAAAUUGCUCUGAGUGCCGCACUUCAGACACACCCCAGCUUAAUUUCUAUCACCUCUUUUAAUGAGUGGCAUGAAGGAACUCAGAUUGAAAAAGCUGUUCCCAAAAGAACCAGUAAUACAGUGUACCUAGAUUACCGUCCUCAUAAACCAGGUCUUUACCUAGAACUGACUCGCAAGUGGUCUGAAAAAUACAGAAAGGAAAGAACAACUUAUACAUUAGAUCACCAGCUGCCUGUUUCUUAAUGCAUUAAUUAAAGUUUAAUAGUUAUAAAAAUCACCUAAUUUUUAAAAAUAGCUUUUGUUUUGCGUUAUGGAAAGAAAACUGUCAAAACCAGUAUAUACUAGUAGUUAUAUUUAAAAAUACAUUUUAAAAAUUCUUACAGAUAAUAUUAUAAUUGUUACCCUUCACAAUACCACAUGAGAAAAUAUCUGAGACAAAAUGUAUACAAAUAUAUUCCUUAUGGCAUAAUUUACUGCAUUUCUGACUGAAAUCAAAAUUCUGAUUUGAUAGCAAUUGAAUUUUCAUUUUACGUAGAUAAAUGCUCGUGUUACCUAAAGCACUUAGCACACAGUUAAAUUAUACUGACAUCCUAGACCCAAAGAAAUAGGGUUGUGUGUAUAUUUGGGAUAUCUAUCAAAGAAAAAAAACCCUGAAAGAUAAUGUACAUGUUUUAUGUCAUAUUUUAAAAAUAAUUUAAUCAACUUUAUUGUUUUAGUAUUUAGACUCUGGAUAACUCUUCAAUAAUGAGGAAAUUCUUAAGAUUAACAAAAUCACUGUACCUUCCUCUCAAUUUUGCUAUGAACGUGAACCCAAAAUGGCUUUAAAUUAAUAGUCUUUUUUUUAAAUUUAAUUACAUAAAUUAAACCUUACCAUGACCAAAUUGUGUUAGGAAGGCCUGCUAUCUCCGGCACAGUGUGUCAUUUGCAGAUUUGUGGUUACCUAUACCAUGCUAGGUGUUUUGGCAUGUUUAGUGUUUCUGCUUUACAGUGCUGAAUUCCGUAUUUUAGAAGCUAUGGAAAGUCCUUUUAUGAAAAAGUUAAUGAUUGCUUCUCAGUUAUUAGGAAAACAGUUGUUUCACAAUUAUUAUGUAGAUAUGAUGCUCAAAUAUUUUUAGUAUAUCUGGUCAAUCUUUAAGUCGUUACUAUUAUAUUAUCCUUAUCUUUAAAUCAGAGACCAAAUAUUUUUUUAGUAAAGAAAAAUGUUAUUACUGUCAUUAGAUUGUCUUUUAAUUUAAGUUAUUUUGACCAAAAGUAAUAGAGUAAAUUUACUUACCAUUUUAGAUUCUAGAGACAUGGAAAUGAAAAUUAUUUUAUGUUUAGGGUAAGUCCAGAAGUUUAGCUUUACAUUAAGUUUAACACUGUAUAAUAAUGAAGAAACUAAUAUUUUACUUAAAAACUAAUACUUUCAAUUUUUUAUAUAGUAAUAUCACCAUUUUAUAAAUGUUAGACUUUUAUUAUACCUAUAGGUUAAAAUACUUGUCAUCAAUAACUUGUCAUAUUGUGACAAAUUGAUCACUUGUAUACUAAAAUUAAAUCUACUUAAAAACUAAAUAAAAUGCACUCUAUUCUUAUAGUUAAUGUUUAUAACUAUAACUAUAGUGAAAAAUAUAUAUAUCCUGUUACAUAAAUGUUAUUUCUUAGGUGUUCCAUUAAGAAAAGCAAUAGAAUAAUACUAAAAAAUAAUGCCUAUAAAUCUUCAGAGUAUAAAGACAUCCAUUCAGAAACAUAAAUUAGCACUAAAUUUUUUAUAAAAUAGCUCACCAGAUGACAAAAUUUAUUUUAUAUUUAAAUGAUGGUUUUGGCACAAAUUAUGUUAUUGAAAAGAGGCAGUAAGUACUGUUUAAUUUAUUUAUAGUUUUGGAAUUUGUCAUUUCUCAGAGAAUGAUCAGGCCUUAGGAAAUGAAUACAGUAGUAGUAAUCAUUUUCUAGGGGAAAAUAAAAGAAUAAAUCACUAUACUGAUAUUUUGAUAUAACCAAGCACUUACAUAGUAAUACUGUAUAGAUACAACCUGUGGAUUUUCUUCUUAUAUCCAUUUAACUUGAAUAUAUUAUUUUAGGUAUACUUUAUAAAUGUCAUACCUAAUACUCUUCUAUAAUGUACCAUAUUUCAUUAAAGUUUUGUUAGA
This is an RNA transcript of Rhinopithecus roxellana (golden snub-nosed monkey), 3451 nucleotides long. It is a transcript of the gene named glycoprotein endo-alpha-1,2-mannosidase pseudogene, with no coding region annotated. Lineage: Eukaryota; Metazoa; Chordata; Mammalia; Primates; Cercopithecidae. The transcript has a single exon. The record is from RefSeq and is a predicted model, not a curated record.